Molecule: small RNA, 3013 nt
Filed under: Pan troglodytes (chimpanzee)
Lineage: Eukaryota; Metazoa; Chordata; Mammalia; Primates; Hominidae
Description: retained intron
Source: RNAcentral
CAUGGGAGAGUUGGACCCACUGAGGUGUGGCCUCGGUGCCAUCUCUCUACUCCCUUAGAGGUAUCCUGUGGCCUCCUGUCCUGGGCAGUGGUGGUGACCAUGGAGAGGAGAAGGUAGGGUUAGGGUAUGAUCUUCCUCCAUAGAAAACUGGUGACAGACUGUCUGGGCCCAGCCAGGCUCAGCCUCCAGGGUGCUGUCACAGGUUCCUAUGGCCUCACUGGGACCAUGUCUAAGGUCUCCUCUCAGAGCAGAGGUCUGGUUGGAGUAAGUGCAGGGGGUUAUGGGCCUGAGUUCUCUUGGGGCUUAAGCUGUUGGUGUAUCCUGGACACUUGCCCACUGCAGACCUUGCCCCUGGUCCUGGAGGGGCAUUUGAUAGAGGGGUUUGACCCCUGCUCCGUACAAAGGAGGUACUGGCCCCAGCCUAUCUGAGAUCUUGGAAUCAGUCUUCGGCUGGCCUUGCCUCCAGAAAAGGCCCCCAUCCAUGGUCACCCUGGGGCUACAGAUGUCCUUGAAGGCCUGCAUGCUCCUGGGACUGCUGAGUUUGGCCAAGGCUGCAGCAAACACUGUAAUGUCCUCUGGGACUCACUGGGCUUCUUUUGUGCUUUGUAUGAGAUAGAACUUGGGCCACAAGGGAAGAUUUCAAGUCAGUUACUUCUGGCCAAACUCCAGAUGUUUCCAGCUGAGGAGACAUUCACUUGGUGUCUUCGGGAGGCCCUGAGUUAACACUUGCCCUAGACUUGUUACGGGGGCAGCAGCAGCGUGCUGGGGCUGGAGCCGCAGCAUGCUCUGAGGAGUCUCCACCAGCUUAGCAAUGAGGAGAGCCCGGAGCUCCACUUGCCAGGCUCUGUGCAGGCUCUGGGCUCUGGGGGCUGGACUGAGCGGGAGGUGGGAGCAAGGUUCACCAAUUUCUCUGCAGGAAUAGUAGCUGCAGCAGAGAACAGGAUGGAGCCUUUCUGGGCUGGGCAGAGGCAGGAAGUGAGGCAUGAGCCCAGGGCCAUAGCAGUCCUCAGCCACUGAGUGGGGAUGAGAAUGCCUCUUCAUCCCCACUGCCUCCUGUCACAGCCUUCCUGCCAUCUGCCUUGCCCUGAACUGGCAAGAUCAAGGAAUGAGGAGUCCGUGGGAGAAGGGGGCUGAGGGUGGGGGGUAGCCAAGCCAGUGCCACUGCCCCGCAGCUCCAGCCUCAGCCUCUCUCCAUGGCUCCCACAGCUCCUCCAGACCACCAACAACUCCCCAAUGAACUCCAAGCCGCAGCAGAUUAAAAUGCAGUCGACGAAAAAGGGCCCCCUGACGAAACGAGACGAGGGGGGCCCGUCUGGUGGGCCAGCAGUAGGAGCACCCCCACCUGGAGAUGAAGCCUCCUCUGUAGGGGCAGGGCAACCAGCUGCGUCCAGCAAUCUCCAGCCUCAGCCUAAGCCCAGCAGUGGAGGCCGGCGACGAGGGGGCCAGCGCCACAAGGUGAAGUCCCAGGGGGCCUGUGUGACUCCUGCCAGCGGCUGCUGAACCUUCCCCUGGCCCACCCUCACCACCCAAGGGGUCAUCAUCUCUGGCCACCACUCCACCAGAUGGGCAGAGCAGCUAUGACCGCCACCCAGCCCUCCCGCUCAGGCCACAGCCGGAGCCUCCGCAUUGCCCCCACCCCCAUUUUCCAGGGGGGUUGUAAUUUAUAAGCUGACGAAGGUAGCCAGACUUCUGGAGGACUGACCAUCUCACUGUCCUCCCCACCUUCUUCCUCACUCACACAUUUUUUGUACAUCUGGGCCCUUAGUUUUUAUUCUGUUUAUUAUAUGUCUCUGUCUCUAUUGUGUGUGUGUGUGUGUGGGGGGGGGGGGUGCAGGAGUGCCACCCCCAGGGCCCUGUCAACCUCUCUUUUCUCCUCCAUGGCUGUCUGCCUGCGUAUCUGUCUCUGAGAAUCCUCGGGGCGGUCAGGGGAUGUCAGGAGGGGAAGGAGCCGCCCUCCCUAUCUUGCUGCUCCUCUUGGCACUCAGGGGCACCUUCCAUGGAGCCAGACUGGGUGGAGGGGCUUCUGGGAUUUGGUGUCUGCUGCUGCCAGAGCAGGAACCCCCAGUCUAGGACUUGGGCAUUUUAACAGAGAGAAAGUAGUGGCUUCUCCUUUUCUCUCUCUCCUCAUUUUUCCCUUUAAGCCCACAGAUUCAGGUCAUGCCAAAAGCUCUCUGGUUGUAACCUGGAGACAUGUGGAGGGGAAUGGCGAUGGGAUUAUAGGACUCUCCCCAUCUCGGGCCCUGACCCUGACCCUUGCCACCAACCCAAAGACAGCUGGUGGGUUUCCCCUUGGAGACAAUCCUGCGUUUGCCUGGGCCGGCCCUGGCUGCCCUCAGCUUUCGCUGAUCUGCCCGGCCUGGAGCCUCUCAUCACCCCGCUUCUUGUUGGGCCUCAGGCACUGGUUACCAAAAGGGGGUCUGGGUCUGCUCAGGAUCAUGUUUUCUAGCACCUCCUGUUGGAGGGGUGGAGGGAUGUUCCCCUGAGCCAGGCUGAGACUAGAACCCCAUCUUCCCUGAGCCAGGCUGAGACUAGAACCCCAUCUUCCCCGCCACGCCACCCCUGUGGCUGCUACAGGAGCACAGUAGUGAAGGCCUGAGCUCCAGGUUUGAAAGACCCAACUGGAGCGUGGGGCGGGCAGGCAGGGGUUAGUGAAAGGACACUUCCAGGGUUAGGACAGAGCAUUUAGCCUUCUGGAAGAACCCCUGCCUGGGGUGGGACUGUGCAGGCCAGAGAAGGUGGCGUGGGCCUGAACCCACCUGGACUGACUUCUGCACUGAAGCCACAGAUGGAGGGUAGGCUGGUGGGUGGGGGUGGUUCGUUCUCUAGCCGGGGCAGACACCCAGCUGGCUGGGUCCUUCCUCAGCCUUGCCUCCUCCUGUCCCCAACCCUUUCCUCCUGCUUGCGGACUGCUGGUCCCCUCUCCUUCCCUCCUUCCAGCUGUUUCUAGUUACCACCUACCCCUGGCCGUGGACUGAUCAGACCAGCAUUCAAAAUAAAAGUUUGUUCCAAGUUG